GAGGUCCCCCAUUAGCAAGACGAACAUUGAUUCAUUGACAUUGGGUGGAGGAAGGAUGCAAUAAUGCUUCGUCCAGACCUACAAAACAACCAUAAUCCCAAAUACCCAGCUUAGGGCACCCAAAAUCAAUCUUCGAAAACAAGCAUUUUCAGAAUGUGUUACAAAGAAGAGCUUAUGGCAAAUGAGAAAUAUCACCUCACCUGCUUCAAAUUACCUCCUCCACAAUAGGUACUUCAGCUCCUUGGAGAUCACCUCAGCACAC
RNAcentral lists this long non-coding RNA (262 nucleotides) under Vigna radiata. RNAcentral's name for it is "long non-coding RNA (VRAD_LNC009480)". The record is from RNAcentral. Lineage: Eukaryota; Viridiplantae; Streptophyta; Magnoliopsida; Fabales; Fabaceae.